This 550-nucleotide ribosomal RNA is filed under the name uncultured bacterium. RNAcentral's name for it is "bacterial SSU rRNA". It matches the Rfam family "Bacterial small subunit ribosomal RNA", at positions 112 to 658 of the family's 1533-position model. The record is from RNAcentral.
AACGCGUGGGAAUCUACCUAGUAGUGGAGGAUAACUCGGGGAAACUCGAGCUAAUACUGCAUACGCCCUACGGGGGAAAGCGGGGGAUCUUCGGACCUCGCGCUAUUGGAUGAGCCCGCGUUAGAUUAGCUUGUUGGUGAGGUAAUGGCUCACCAAGGCGACGAUCUAUAGCUGGUCUGAGAGGAUGAUCAGCCACAUUGGGACUGAGACACGGCCCAAACUCCUACGGGAGGCAGCAGUGGGGAAUAUUGCGCAAUGGGCGAAAGCCUGACGCAGCCAUGCCGCGUGUGUGAAGAAGGCCUUCGGGUCGUAAAGCACUUUCAAUAGGGAGGAAAGGUUGUAGCUUAAUACGUUGCAACUGUGACGUUACCUAUAGAAGAAGCACCGGCUAACUCCGUGCCAGCAGCCGCGGUAAUACGGAGGGUGCGAGCGUUAAUCGGAAUUACUGGGCGUAAAGCGCGCGUAGGCGGCUUCGUCAGUCAGAUGUGAAAGCCCCGGGCUCAACCUGGGAACUGCAUUUGAUACUGCGGAGCUAGAGUAUGGUAGAGGA